Molecule: ribosomal RNA, 484 nt
Filed under: uncultured bacterium
Lineage: Bacteria
Description: partial 16S ribosomal RNA
Rfam family: Bacterial small subunit ribosomal RNA
Source: RNAcentral
AUUGAACGCUGGCGGCAGGCCUAACACAUGCAAGUCGAGCGGAUGAAGGGAGCUUGCUCCUGGAUUCAGCGGCGGACGGGUGAGUACUGCCUAGGAAUCUGCCUGGUAGUGGGGGAUAACGUCCGGUAACGGGCGCUAAUACCGCAUCCGUCCUGCGGGAGAAAGUGGGGGAUCUUCGGACCUCACGCUAUCAGAUGAGCCUAGGUCGGAUUAGCUAGUUGGUGGGGUAAAGGCCUACCAAGGCGACGAUCCGUAACUGGUCUGAGAGGAUGAUCAGUCACACUGGAACUGAGACACGGUCCAGACUCCUACGGGAGGCAGCAGUGGGGAAUAUUGGACAAUGGGCGAAAGCCUGAUCCAGCCAUGCCGCGUGUGUGAAGAAGGUCUUCGGAUUGUAAAGCACUUUAAGUGGGGAGGAAGGGCAGUAAGUUAAUACCUUGCUGUUUUGACGUUACCAACAGAAUAAGCACCGGCUAACUUCGUG